GACGAACGCUGGCGGCGUGCUUAACACAUGCAAGUCGAACGGAAAGGCCCUGCUUUUGUGGGGUGCUCGAGUGGCGAACGGGUGAGUAACACGUGAGUAAACUGCACUUGACUUUGGGAUAACUUCAGGAAACUGGGGCUAAUACAGGAUAGGAGCUACUGCUGCAUGGUGGGGGUUGGUAAGUUUCGGCGGUUGGGGAUGGACUAGCAGCUUAUCAGCUUGUUGGUGGGGUAGUGGCAUACCAAGGCUGUGACGGGUAGCCGGCCUGAGCGGGUGACCGGCGACAUUGGGACUGAGAUACGGCGCAGACUCCUACGUGAGGCAGCAGUGGAGAGUCUUGCGCAGUGGGCGGAAGCCUGAGGCAGCAGCGCCGCGUGCGGGAUGACGGCCUACGAGUUGUAAACCGCUUUGGCCUGUGACGAAGCGUGAGUGACGGUAAUGGGUAAGGAAGCACCGGCUAACUACGUG
Molecule: ribosomal RNA, 468 nt
Filed under: uncultured bacterium
Lineage: Bacteria
Description: partial 16S ribosomal RNA
Rfam family: Bacterial small subunit ribosomal RNA
Source: RNAcentral